RNAcentral lists this ribosomal RNA (482 nucleotides) under uncultured bacterium. RNAcentral describes it as "partial 16S ribosomal RNA". It matches the Rfam family "Bacterial small subunit ribosomal RNA", at positions 30 to 507 of the family's 1533-position model. The record is from RNAcentral.
AUUGAACGCUGGCGGCAUGCCUUACACAUGCAAGUCGAACGGUAACGGGCCUUCGGGUGCCGACGAGUGGCGAACGGGUGAGUAAUACAUCGGAACGUGCCCGAUCGUGGGGGAUAACGAGGCGAAAGCUUUGCUAAUACCGCAUACGAUCUACGGAUGAAAGCAGGGGACCGCAAGGCCCUGCGCGGACGGAGCGGCCGGUGGCAGAUUAGGUAGUUGGUGGGAUAAAAGCUUACCAAGCCGACGAUCUGUAGCUGGUCUGAGAGGAUGAUCAGCCACACUGGGACUGAGACACGGCCCAGACUCCUACGGGAGGCAGCAGUGGGGAAUUUUGGACAAUGGGCGCAAGCCUGAUCCAGCCAUGCCGCGUGCAGGAUGAAGGCCUUCGGGUUGUAAACUGCUUUUGUACGGAACGAAAAGCCUUCUUUUAAUACAGGAGGGUCAUGACGGUACCGUAAGAAUAAGCACCGGCUAACUACGUG